RNAcentral lists this ribosomal RNA (1083 nucleotides) under Escherichia coli. RNAcentral's name for it is "partial 23S ribosomal RNA". It matches the Rfam family "Bacterial large subunit ribosomal RNA", at positions 417 to 1506 of the family's 2925-position model. Lineage: Bacteria; Pseudomonadati; Pseudomonadota; Gammaproteobacteria; Enterobacterales; Enterobacteriaceae. The record is from RNAcentral.
GCGGGACACGUGGUAUCCUGUCUGAAUAUGGGGGGACCAUCCUCCAAGGCUAAAUACUCCUGACUGACCGAUAGUGAACCAGUACCGUGAGGGAAAGGCGAAAAGAACCCCGGCGAGGGGAGUGAAAAAGAACCUGAAACCGUGUACGUACAAGCAGUGGGAGCCUCUUAAUGGGGUGACUGCGUACCUUUUGUAUAAUGGGUCAGCGACUUAUAUUCUGUAGCAAGGUUAACCGAAUAGGGGAGCCGAAGGGAAACCGAGUCUUAACUGGGCGUUAAGUUGCAGGGUAUAGACCCGAAACCCGGUGAUCUAGCCAUGGGCAGGUUGAAGGUUGGGUAACACUAACUGGAGGACCGAACCGACUAAUGUUGAAAAAUUAGCGGAUGACUUGUGGCUGGGGGUGAAAGGCCAAUCAAACCGGGAGAUAGCUGGUUCUCCCCGAAAGCUAUUUAGGUAGCGCCUCGUGAAUUCAUCUCCGGGGGUAGAGCACUGUUUCGGCAAGGGGGUCAUCCCGACUUACCAACCCGAUGCAAACUGCGAAUACCGGAGAAUGUUAUCACGGGAGACACACGGCGGGUGCUAACGUCCGUCGUGAAGAGGGAAACAACCCAGACCGCCAGCUAAGGUCCCAAAGUCAUGGUUAAGUGGGAAACGAUGUGGGAAGGCCCAGACAGCCAGGAUGUUGGCUUAGAAGCAGCCAUCAUUUAAAGAAAGCGUAAUAGCUCACUGGUCGAGUCGGCCUGCGCGGAAGAUGUAACGGGGCUAAACCAUGCACCGAAGCUGCGGCAGCGACACUAUGUGUUGUUGGGUAGGGGAGCGUUCUGUAAGCCUGUGAAGGUGGCCUGUGAGGGUUGCUGGAGGUAUCAGAAGUGCGAAUGCUGACAUAAGUAACGAUAAAGCGGGUGAAAAGCCCGCUCGCCGGAAGACCAAGGGUUCCUGUCCAACGUUAAUCGGGGCAGGGUGAGUCGACCCCUAAGGCGAGGCCGAAAGGCGUAGUCGAUGGGAAACAGGUUAAUAUUCCUGUACUUGGUGUUACUGCGAAGGGGGGACGGAGAAGGCUAUGUUGGCCGGGCGACGGUUGUC